This is a long non-coding RNA of Arachis duranensis, 484 nucleotides long. RefSeq lists it as uncharacterized. NCBI's taxonomy places the organism in Eukaryota, Viridiplantae, Streptophyta, Magnoliopsida, Fabales, Fabaceae. The transcript is spliced from 3 exons. The record is from RefSeq and is a predicted model, not a curated record.
UACAUUUUGAAGAUUUGGUAACAUUUAUUGCUUAACAUUUGUUAAAGUGUUAGUAAUUAUUAUAAAAUUAUAUUAUAAAGUAACAUUUUAUUAGAAAUGUUAGUAAAUAUAUAUAAUUUUUUUUAAAAUCUUAAAAAAUGUUACCUAUUCCUAUAACACUUUGGACGGAGACCUAGCCUAACGAAACAGAAGAAAGAUCGGGAACCAGUCAUAGCUCUCAAUCUCACUCCGAAUCUCGUUCUCCUUCGCACUCUCGCUCUCAACCUCACAUGUGCUCCUCCGCUCUUUGAAUCUUUCUCUUGUUUCAACAAAUUCUAGGGUUGGAUUUGUUAUUCUCUGUUUUGAGAAACAAUUGAAGGGGGGUCGAUAUUUUCCUCUCACAGCUGUUCAGAGUUUUGAUGCUGCUGGAUUCAAGAGUGUUUCUCAAAGCUUUUGCAUCGACAGCGAGGAGCUCUUCAAACGCUGGCUAACUAAUAGAGAGGCA